GCUGGUUCCUUUAUGUCAACUGAGGGAUGUGAGGGAUGCCUUUAGUGAGGGUACGACAACAUGGUUGGUCAGCUCGUGAUUGGUCAUCACGGGAUCAUAUCCACGCAGGCGGUUUCCUGUGUGAUCAGGAAGUACAAGGCCAUCGGCGGUAUCAUCCUCACUGCCAGUCACAACCCCUGAGGGAUCCAAUGGAGACUUUGGCAUCAAGUUCAACACUGCUAAUGGAGAUACUGUAACUAGAGAACAGGGACCAGUAGGAAAGGCCCAGGAGGCAGUCGCUAACAAAAUAUCCCUGAUCAGUAGAUCCAUAAAGGAGUACGCCAUGUGCCCAGAACUCCG
This is a long non-coding RNA of Oncorhynchus tshawytscha (Chinook salmon), 339 nucleotides long. The record is from Ensembl. Lineage: Eukaryota; Metazoa; Chordata; Actinopteri; Salmoniformes; Salmonidae.